UCCGCAGAAGCUCAGUGGUAGAGCAACAGGCUGUUAACCGGCGGAUCGUAGGUUCGAAACCUACCUGCGGAGCAA
Molecule: transfer RNA, 75 nt
Filed under: SAR202 cluster bacterium Io17-Chloro-G3
Lineage: Bacteria; Bacillati; Chloroflexota; Dehalococcoidia
Description: tRNA-Asn
Rfam family: tRNA
About the family: Transfer RNA (tRNA) molecules are approximately 80 nucleotides in length. Their secondary structure includes four short double-helical elements and three loops (D, anti-codon, and T loops).
Source: RNAcentral